UCAUCAGACAUAGGAAACAAAAAGGCAUCUUUUUGUUUUUAAAAGACCUUCUUAUGAAGGUAUGCUUAAAGAGGGGCUUGCGCCACAUUAGUUAGUUGGUAGAGUAAAAGCCUACCAAGACGAUGAUGUGUAGCUGGACUGAGAGGUUGAACAGCCACAUUGGGACUGAGACACGGCCCAAACUCCUACGGGAGGCAGCAGUAGGGAAUUUUCGGCAAUGGAGGAAACUCUGACCGAGCAACGCCGCGUGAACGAUGAAGUAUUUCGGUAUGUAAAGUUCUUUUAUUGAAGAAGAAAAAGUAGUGGAAAAACUAUAUUGACGUUAUUCAAUGAAUAAGCCCCGGCUAACUAUGUGCCAGCAGCCGCGGUAAGACAUAGGGGGCGAGCGUUAUCCGGAAUUAUUGGGCGUAAAGGGUGCGUAGGCUGUUAGAUAAGUCUAUAAUUUAAUUUCAGUGCUUAACGCUGUCUUGUUAUAGAAACUGUCUUGACUAGAGUGAGAUAGAGGCAAGCGGAAUUCCAUGUGUAGCGGUAAAAUGUGUAAAUAUAUGGAGGAACACCAGAAGCGUAGGCGGCUUGCUGGGUCUUUACUGACGCUGAGGCACGAAAGCGUGGGUAGCAAACAGGAUUAGAUACCCUGGUAGUCCACGCCGUAAACGAUGAGUACUAAGUGUCGGGGUAAAACUCGGUACUGAAGUUAACACAUUAAGUACUCCGCCUGAGUAGUACGUACGCAAGUAUGAAACUUAAAGGAAUUGACGGGACUCCGCACAAGCGGUGGAUCAUGUUGUUUAAUUCGAAGAUACACGAAAAAUCUUACCAGGUCUUGACAUACUCUGCAAAGCUAUAGAAAUAUAGUGGAGGUUAUCAGGGAUACAGGUGGUGCAUGGUUGUCGUCAGUUCGUGUCGUGAGAUGUUAGGUUAAGUCCUAAAACGAGCGCAACCCUUGUCGUUAAUUGCCAGCACGUAAUGGUGGGGACUUUAGCGAGACUGCCAAUUAAACAUUGGAGGAAGGUGAGGAUUACGUCAAAUCAUCAUGCCCCUUAUGAUCUGGGCUACAAACGUGAUACAAUGGCUGUGACAAAGAGUAGCUGAAACGCGAGUUUUUAGCCAAUCUCAAAAAAGCAGUCUCAGUUCGGAUUGAAGUCUGUAACUCGACUUCAUGAAGUUGGAAUCGCUAGUAAUCGCGAAUCAGCAUGUCGCGGUGAAUACGUUCGGUCGGGUUUCAU
This 1226-nucleotide ribosomal RNA is filed under the name Candidatus Phytoplasma trifolii. RNAcentral's name for it is "bacterial SSU rRNA". It matches the Rfam family "Bacterial small subunit ribosomal RNA", at positions 164 to 1384 of the family's 1533-position model. Lineage: Bacteria; Bacillati; Mycoplasmatota; Mollicutes; Acholeplasmatales; Acholeplasmataceae. The record is from RNAcentral.